UGUAGCUCAGUGGUAGAACAUGUGCUUCGCACACACAAUAUACAUGAAGCCCUGGGUUCAAACCCCAGCA
This 70-nucleotide transfer RNA is filed under the name Fukomys damarensis (Damara mole-rat). Lineage: Eukaryota; Metazoa; Chordata; Mammalia; Rodentia; Bathyergidae. The record is from Rfam by way of RNAcentral.